CCUGUCAUCGUCUAGUGGUUAGGACACCAGGUUUUGAUCGAUCUAGUUUCGUCCAUCGGACGUCCUGGUAACUUGGGUUCGACUCCCAAUGACAGGU
This is a transfer RNA of Puccinia graminis f. sp. tritici, 97 nucleotides long. It matches the Rfam family "tRNA". From Rfam's summary of the family: Transfer RNA (tRNA) molecules are approximately 80 nucleotides in length. Their secondary structure includes four short double-helical elements and three loops (D, anti-codon, and T loops). The record is from Rfam. NCBI's taxonomy places the organism in Eukaryota, Fungi, Basidiomycota, Pucciniomycetes, Pucciniales, Pucciniaceae.